This 389-nucleotide unclassified non-coding RNA is filed under the name Lecananthus erubescens. Its description in RNAcentral is "partial external transcribed spacer". The record is from RNAcentral. Lineage: Eukaryota; Viridiplantae; Streptophyta; Magnoliopsida; Gentianales; Rubiaceae.
GUCCUCCCGUGCGUUCCUCUUCAAUCGUAGGCGCAAGGGCGACUUUAGCCUUGGCCGUCCCCGUUGGUUUCCUGUGUUGCAUACCUACAUCGAUGGAAUUCGUUGGCCAAUUUUUCCCUCGUUCGUCCAGCGCUGCACGUCGCGGCUACGGGCGAACCUCGAAGCGUCGCACGUGUUCCGCAUCGCCCACGCAUGGCGUGGGCGUUGCGGCCCACGAGUGUUCGCUCGACCUCUGGGAUGCGGAAAACGCUGGGGGCGCGAUGUCAUUGACCUCUAUUUGCCCACAAAUUGGCGUCACACGCCACGUUCGAACGACGUUCGGCGUCCCACUGACGAUGCGCGUCUUGCGACCCGACGUCCACGAGGAAUGCUACCUGGUUGAUCCUGCC